CCUACAGGAGGCAGCAGUGGGGAAUAUUGCACAAUGGGGGAAACCCUGAUGCAGCAACGCCGCGUGAGUGAAGGAGUAUUUCGGUAUGUAAAGCUCUAUCAGCAGGGAAGAAAAUUACAGUUCCUGACUAAGAAGCCCCGGCUAACUACGUGCCAGCAGCCGCGGUAAUACGGAGGGGGCAAGCGUUAUCCGGAUUUACUGGGGGGAAAGGGAGCGUAGACGGCUGCGCAAGUCAGAAGUGAAAGCCCGGGGCUCAACCGCGGGACUGCUUUUGAAACUGUGUAGCUAGAGUGCAGGAGAGGUAAGUGGAAUUCCUAGUGUAGCGGUGAAAUGCGUAGAUAUUAGGAGGAACACCGGUGGCGAAGGCGGCUUACUGGACUGUAACUGACGUUGAGGCUCGAAAGCGUGGGGAGCAAACAGGAUUAGAUACCCUUGUAGUC
This 440-nucleotide ribosomal RNA is filed under the name uncultured bacterium. RNAcentral's name for it is "partial 16S ribosomal RNA". It matches the Rfam family "Bacterial small subunit ribosomal RNA", at positions 338 to 795 of the family's 1533-position model. The record is from RNAcentral.